CUCUGAUAGGUUAACCCUGGGCAUUUAGCACUCUGAUAGGUUAACCCUGGGCAUUUAGCACUCUAAUAGGUUAACCCUGGGCAUUUAGCACUCUAAUAGGUUAACCCUGGGCAUUUAGCACUCUAAUAGGUUAACCCUGGGCAUUUAGCACUCUAGUAGGUUAACCCUGGGCAUUUAGCACUCUGAUAGGUUAACCCUAGGCAUUUAGCACACUAAUAGGUUAACCCUGGGCAUUUAGCACUCUAAUAGGUUAACCCUAGGCAUUUAGCACUCUGAUAGGUUAACCCUAGGCAUUUAGCACUCUAAUAGGUUAACCCUGGGCAUUUAGCACUCUAAUAGGUUAACCCUAGGCAUUUAGCACUCUGAUAGGUUAACCCUGGGCAUUUAGCACUCUAAUAGGUUAACCCUGGGCAUUUAGCACUCUAAUAGGUUAACCCUAGGCAUUUAGCACUCUGAUAGGUUAACCCUAGGCAUUUAGCACUCUGAUAGGUUAACCCUAGGCAUUUAGCAGUCUGAUAGGUUAGAUGGAAUUUUAGCCUCGUGUUUUAUACAUGAUCAAGGGUACAAGGAUGAAGGGAGGGAGUAAUUGAUUCUGGACAAGGUUGAAGGGAGGGGGUAAUUGAUUCUGGACAAGGAUGAAGGGAGGGGGUAAUUGAUUCUGGAUAAGGACAAGGAUGAAGGGAGGGGGUAAUUGAUUCUGGAUAAGGACAAGGAUGAAGGGAGGGGGUAGUUGAUUCUGGACAAGGACAAGGAUGAAGGGAGGGGGUAAUUGAUUCUGGACAAGGAUGAAGGGAGGGAGGUAAUUGAUUCUGGACAAGGACAAGGAUGAAGGGAGGGGGUAAUUGAUUCUGGAC
Long non-coding RNA from Oncorhynchus tshawytscha (Chinook salmon), 854 nucleotides. The record is from Ensembl. NCBI's taxonomy places the organism in Eukaryota, Metazoa, Chordata, Actinopteri, Salmoniformes, Salmonidae.